Mus musculus (house mouse) is the source of this 4215-nucleotide RNA transcript. It is a transcript of the gene named Bclaf1 and Thrap3 family member 3, with no coding region annotated. The record is from RefSeq and is marked validated. NCBI's taxonomy places the organism in Eukaryota, Metazoa, Chordata, Mammalia, Rodentia, Muridae. The transcript has 13 exons.
GGGUCCCGGCCCGCGGGGAGAGCUGGGUGCUGGUUGGAGCAGGAGGCGGGAGCUGCGCGACGGGCGAGGCGGUGAGGGAGCAGCAACAGCGGCGGCGGCUGUAGCGGCGGAGGCUUCGGCGACGGCGACAGCGACAGCGACGGGCUCUGGUGACGACUUCUCUGAGGGUGUAAAAAGUGGAUCAGGCAGCUCAUAUGCUAAAGGAUGGCACGGUCAAGAUCCAGAUCCCCCAGGUGGAAACAAAGGUCAUUAUCGCCACAAUCUAGAAAUUUUGAAUACCAUGAGGAAAGACAUUUCCAUGGGCACUAUGACCCUGAAUAUAGACAUGAUCAACAAAGACCCUUUACUUGGAGAAUGGAUGAUGAAAAACAUGGACAAAAUAAACCAAGGAUUCCCCCUCGUGUGAAUUCGUAUCAUCGGUCUUAUGUAAAUAGAUCACCUUCUCCAAAUGUAAAACCUGUUGAAAAAUUUGAUACAUAUAAGCCUCACCAAGAAUAUUUUCCUGGCAGAGGAGAUGAUGACAGACGAUCUCAGUAUAUGCCCACAUACACAGAAAGUGCAGCAACCUACAUGGAGCACGAAAGGGAUUGUUAUAUCCCUACAGUGCAAGGAAGGUAUACUCCUGAUGAUCACAGAGGUAGAGGUAGAGGAAGUGGGAGAGGAGAGAAGCCACCUCAGAUGUCACUGGGGAAGCCACCUAAGAUGUCACUGGGGAAGCCACCUCAGAUGUCACUGGCAGAUUCCUUGAGAUUUAAAGAGAAAUGGCAUGAAGAUGAAUUGAGACACCAGAGGGUACAAGAAGAAAGCUACCCUCAGUCACCCAGAAGAGGCUCAGAAGACUUUGGCACAAGGAACCCUUUUCAAAAGAGGUAUCCCGAGGAUCAUGAUUUCAGAAAGUAUGGCUACACAUCAAAAAGACCUACAGAUGCAGCAAGGUAUGAAAAUAGAGAUCCAGCCAGAAUCCCAAAGUGGAAGCCUGAGCAUUCUUUUCUACCUUUCCAAGAGAAGAAAGAAGAGUGGAGCUUUGGAGCCCAAGGUCACAGAUAUACUGAGAGAGAGUACCCAGAGAGAAGCUCGACAACCAGAGUAUCCUACGACUACCGUCACAAACAUCAUAAGCUCUCAGAGAGCGAGCAGGACUUUCCUGAUGGCAGAUUUCACAAGCACUUAAAGGAAGAAGACAGAAAAUACAGUUCUAUAAAAGCUCCUGCAAAUAGAGAGUUAGAUUGUUUCAGUACUACAAGAGGAAGAGAAAUUGAGAAUGAGCAAAUCAAUGGACCUUUUUAUCUCUACAACAAAAACUCUGUUUCCUAUAAUCAUACAAAUAUAAAGGAUGCUGAUUUGGAGCCUUGCAAUGACAAAUGGAAGAAAAAAAUUAGUAAAGAAGAUUGCAGAAAAGAGAAUGCAUCUUUUAGUAAACAGUUUGAUACAAGCCCAAAACCUGAAGAGAAAUGCUAUUCACUUAUCAAGAAGAAACCACUUUCUGUCAAAGUAGACAGAAACAAGACAGACACAUUUAGGUCUACUUCUAGAUAUUCUGCAGAGAGACAGAUAUCACAUGAUUUGGUUGCUAUUGGCAAAACAAGUGACAAUUUUCAUCCAGUAUUUCAACAUCUUGACUCGACUCAGAAUCCUGAAAAUAAACCUACUGAAGAAUUUGCUCAGGAAAUCAUAACACUAAUCCACAAAGUUAAAGCAGAUAGUUUUGUAACACCUGAUAUUACUCUAAAUGAACGUUUCUCAAGAAUAAAAAACAGACAGGAUGCAGAUUUCAAUCAAACGAAAUCAAAUUCAGAUCCAGAAUUUCACAGGCGAAUAGAUAUGUCUUUGGAUGAUUUUCAGAAUAAAUAUACGAUGGUAUAUGAACCAGAUAAGACUCUGGUCAAAGUAAUAGAACCAAAUGAUCUACGACAUGACAUUGAGAGAAGGAGAAAAGAGCGAUUACAGAAUGAAGAUGAGAAUAUUUUUCACAUGGCUAGUCCUACAGAGAGGAAUCAUCAGUCUCCCAGUUUUUCAAAGGUGAAGACUAUUCGUGCUGAUGGAUUUCAAAAGCCUCCACAUUUUAUAAAAUCAAAUUUUAGAAAAUUUAUUCAGAAACCUUACAUAGUAAGAUUGGAGUUUCAAGUUUUUCAUUUUUGUAUAUUCUUUAUAAAUAUAUCUAUACUUUUCAAAGUGCUUGUAACUUCAUUAUGUGUUAUAAGAGCAUUGAGGCUUAAAGAUUUUUAUGACAUAAUAUAACUCAUCUCUUGAUUUAGUUGAAGUUCAAUUUAUUAUAGUACUGAUUUUCUUAAGCUGUUUUGGUAACAACUUAAUUAAGAUAUAAUUUAUAUACUCUAAAGUUAACUCAUUUCAGGUGUAUAAUUUGGUGAGUUUUAGUAAUUCUCCAAGAUGUGUUAGAGUCAUCACCAUAGUCCAGUUGUUGGACUUGAGACAGGAUUUCACUUUGUUGCUCAGGCUAAGCAGGGGAACUCACCAUAUAUCCCAGGCUAGCCUCAAAUUUGCAGCUCUCCUGCCUUCACCUUCUAUGUGCUAAGAUGACAAGCAUGUGGCACCAUAUCUGAGUAGGAUAUUGUCAUUACCCAGUAAACAUUCUCAUGCCUUAUAUUUAAUUAUUCCAUGUUCCAACCGCCCACCAAACCACUAAUUGCUCUAUUUUAAAGAUUUGCUUAUAGAAUGGAUCAUGAUAUAAUAGCCAGCCGGCAGCUCUUCUGUAAGUGAUGACUAAAUGAUGGAAGCCAAAGUUAGUUUGUUACCUUAUGCUAGAAGUAAUAUCCCAUUACUUAACCAUAUGGUUAUUACAAGAAGCAAGCUACUAGAUCAUACCCACAAAGAGAAGGAUCAUUGAUGGAGAUAAUUAGGAGCCAUGUCAGCAGCUGCCUAGUACAAUCUUCCCUCUGGCCAGACUCCACAGAAAUGGAUUAAGUAGAAGAACUAUACUAUGCAGAGAAAAGAUGCCAUUGAUCAGAAGAUAUUUAGAGUUGAGGAAAAUCAUCAGAACAGAAGAGGCUCUAAAGGAUCUUUUAAGAACUUUUUGGGUGGCAGAUUCCAGCCUCAUUAUAAAUCACACCUGGUACAGAAGAGCAUGUAUAUUCAGGCUAAAUACCAGCGCUUACGGUUUGCUGGACCAAGAGGAUUUAUUACCAAUAAAUUCAGAAACAGAUUUCUGAGGAAAAAAAAGUUUUAAUGUAAGAGCCUAGUUAAAAGGAAUACCCAGUAUUGCCAAGGACAAACAACCUGGAAUUGUUGCAAGUGGAGCCAACCCUAUAUGAAGACUUAACUGAGCAUCUCAUUUUUGUCAGGAAUUGGAAUUGACACUAAUACUGUAACUUUCUUGAUAAAAUAUCUUUAUUUUUCAGUAGUGGAAUGCUGCAACUUUUUUACAGUAUUCAAUUUCAGAAGUUGUAUUUAACUACAAGCUCUUUUGCAAAAACUCUCAGCAGAAGCAUUUGAGGGGCACUCUUUGUUGAUGCAUCUUUCUCUCAGCAUGGUUUCACUGAGAGAAUUUAAUUAAAUUACAUGUAAACAUUUAUAUGUUGAAAGCUUUCUGUUAUAAGAACAGGUGUCAGAAUUAUUUAGUGUCUGUACAUGAAAGAACUUUUAAACAGUGGCCUUACAGUAUCAAAUUUUAUACUGGCUUUUCUUUUUCUGAUGACAUUUUGGCUUCUAACUUGAAGUUUUCUGAAGUUUCUGAAGAUCAAGGCCUGUAUGUGUCAUCCAUUUUGUAAUACAAUAUAAGAAGCUUAAAGAAGAGGUGCAUCUUCUCCAUCGGGUCGUGUGUAUCUUGGGUUUUCCCAUGACCAUUUGCUCUUUUCUAGUUUCAAAUGCUAUUGUGGAAAAUAUGUAAGGAUUUUAUAAUCUCUAUUCCAUCUUCUUUUCCCUCAGGGCAAGCUUAUGCAUAUUAUAUUUUUAAAGGCUUUUAAAAUCUGACAGACAAAACUGCAUAUUUGAACAUUGUACUUUACUACUACGGUAUUAGACAUUUUGCAGACACAUCUUACAGACAGCAUAUCUUUGGUUCAGUUGAUAGAUAUUUCAUAUCUACUAUGUGUAAGAUAGGAUCCAUGGGAUCGUAAAUACAGUCUAUAGGUCCAAAAACUUCUUUGUUUUCUUUCUUCUGCUUAAAAGUACAUAUACAUUCCCAGUCAAAUUUUUGUGACAUGUUUAUUUGUAAGAAAAUAAAAUAUUGUUCUUUCUGCUUGAAGCUGUUACCUGGCA